UUUUGAUGCAUUGUUAACAGCGGGUGAUGAGUUUUCUCUUCUCCUCUCCUUUACUAGUUUCAGGUCUGGUGUUCUUUGUGGUGAUCGUGGUGCUGCUGUCCAUAUACCGGAAAGAACCUCACUGCUGCAAGGACACCCAUGGAGACAUGGAUGCCCCUCCUCAGUACAGCAGCAGACAGACACUGGUGGGAAACCCCUGUCUGGAACAGACUCACGACAAUACACACUCACAGUCAGGGCAGCUGUUCCUUAUCGGCCUGCCCUCCAGCUACCGCCUGCCCUCCCUGGAGGCGCCCCUCCCCAGGCUGCCCUCCUACGAGAGUGUCAGGAAGAAGGACCGCCAGAGACAGAUACACAUGAUGAUCGCUGACCGUUUCGGCCUCAACGGCUCCAUGCUGACUGAGCCCCCUCCAACGUAUGAGGAGAGCAUCCGCCACUCCAUUGAAGUGCCCUUUGACAUUCUGAGGUCUGUAAUAGACACCCCUCAUCCCCAGAACAUUUACCCUCCGCACACUGGCACAGACCUUACCACUCAGUCAGAGGUAACCACUCAGUGCCCAUCCACUCAGGAUGCCAACAGUGCCACCCUACCAGUCUGAAUCCUCAGACUCGCUACUGACACACGAUGACAAGGACAACUGGAGUAUUGAUGCUUUUUAUCCACCUUGAUGUGCCAAACUGGUCAGAGGAUAACAGACAGGGGAAAUGCACACAUUCUCCAUAGGUUGAAUCAGACCCAGCAGCCAAUGGGUUGACUGUACUGUAGGAACAUCCUGCAGUGACAGUAUGCUGGAAGAUAGUGAAAUUCUACAUUGUGGGUUACUCCAUACUGACAAACUUGAAUGUCUAAACACCUCUUGUCAGUUGUGAUUUUAAACUGGAGCCUAAAUAAGACUGAUGAACUGGGAAGACUUGGAUUGCCAUUCUUCAGUGAAAAGGGAAACCGUCCUGUAGAUGACCAAUACCAUGACUAUAUGUGUCUGAGGUGGCAGGUUCUAAUGCCAAAGUUAACUGUAAGAGGAGACAGGCCAGGUAGAAAGACACUCCAUGACAAAUGUGCUGCUGAAAAACAAAGACCAUUUUGCUGUGAACAGAAAAAGCACCAAAAAGGAUGAACGAUCUUUAGAUUUAAAAAAAAUGUUUCUCAUAUUUUCUACAUUUGAUCAUUUUAUGGAUUAAAGUAAUCUGGAUGAUUGUUUUUUGGGGAACUGUGUUGUAGCGAGUCGUUUUCUGAGUAAAACCACUCUCCUCUUUUAGUGCAAUGUCUGAGCCAAAAACGUAUAAGCGUGAGUUGUAAAAUGCUCCUAUGUCCUACCCUGCUGAACUUGGGUUGUACAGUUGAGCCAGCUACAAUUUGUGUGUUAGUCUUGGAACCUGUGAAGAGUGAGUCAACAACACCAAUCAUGUGUUGGCUCUGGUAACGGGUCUUAAAAGCCCAAUGCAGCCGUUUUUUUUAUAUCAAAUCAUUUAUGGGUAACAAUAAUGUACCUUACUGUAAUGGUUUUCCAUUAAAAUGAUCUAAAUUGUUUUUUUUGUUGCUUUUAAGCGUUAAACGUUUUAACAAGCAAUAAUUGUGGUCUGAGUGGGGAGGAGAAAAGGGAAAACUAGUUGUUAUUGUUAGAGAGGUUUGGAACUCUUUAUUAUUAAUCUAUUAACUCAUUUACCACCUGGUGAUGUCACCAGGCAAGACAAAACUCCACCCAUGCAAAACCUGCUGGGUAGAAGGUCCUUUGUAGAAUGUAUUUUCAACCAGGAAAUAAUACUGAUCAAAUCUUGUUAGUUUCAUCAGCUGUUGUACAAUAUGAUGCAAAACACAAACUGAAUUUUUACUGCACGGGGCCUUUAAGAUACAAUUCAGCAUUGGGAUUGUGGGAAGCGGUAAGGAGCUAGCUUUGUUUAUUCAAGACCUCUGUGAACAGUGAAUGAGAAUAGUUGUGUAAAAAGCUUAUUUUUUGUUGUUGAUUAACUGGGCUGCCUGUUUUAACAGUCCCUGCACAAGCUUGAGAAGAAACCAGUAUGAAUGACAAGAAAAAGUAUGUAAUAUUUCCCUCACAUAAUGUCUGAAACAAAAGUAUGUAAUAUUUCCCUCACAUCAUGUCUGAAACAAAAGUAUGUAAUAUUUCCCUCACAUAAUGUCUGAAACAAAAGUAUGUAAUAUUUCCCUCACAUAAUGUCUGAAACAAAAGUAUGUAAUAUUUCCCUCACAUAAUGUCUGAAACAAAAGUAUGUAAUAUUUCCCUCACAUCAUGUCUGAAACAAAAGUAUGAGGUUUCAACAGCCGUUAGCAAGUUCUAUUCAAAAGACAUAAAUUCCUGUCUGUCACGUAAACUAAUUGAGAUGGUGGUGGCUUCUAGAUAAAGACAUGUUUAACAUAGAGCCUGUGUGCGGUCUCUGUCUGGCCUUAAUGUCCACUAGUGUCCUUUUCACCUCAUUUAACACAUGAUUUACUAAACAAAAGGCACAUCUCAAUAGGUGGUCCAGGUAUGACAUGAACAAGCAGGGGGAGGGGCAGGUGGUACUUUCCUCUUUUGCUCUCCAUUGUUCCUCAAACAAGGAGGAGGCUGAUGACAUCACAUCUGACCAUCUCCUUUUAUUUUAUUUAUUUAACCUUUAUUUAACUAGGCAAGUCCGUUAAGAACAAAUUCUUAUUUACAAUAACGGCCUAGGAACAGUGGGUUAACUGCCUUGUUCAGGGGCAGAACGACAGAUUUUUACCUUGUCAGCUCGGGGAUUCGAUCUAGCAACCUUUCGGUUACUGGCCCAACGCUCUAACUACUAGGCUACCUGCCGCCCCAAACCUGCCACUCCAAAAUCCUUGAAGUUAACUUAAAGUUUGCGGUUGUCUCUAAAACACUAUUUUACUUAAAACAUAUUUUUUUUAACCCUUUAGUGUAUGUAUUUAUACUUGGGAUAUUUGAACAGGAAAAGUAAAACAAAAUCACUGAGGACGUCUAACUUUCACUUUCCGAAUCCUCUAAACUGCACUUUACAUUGGUGGGAGCAGUGUUUUUGUGCAUUUUGAAUGACCCUGGAACCUAACGAUUAUACAAGUGAAUUAAUGACCUGUAAGUUUACUUUGAGCCCACCACCAAGUUAUAUUUGCCCUUACACACACAUUGAACAUAUGUAUGUAAAUAAUAAACUGUUAUUAAAUCAAAUUGUAUUAGCCACAUUCACCGAAUACAACAGUAGACCUUACAGUGAAAUGCUUACUUACGAGCCCCUAACCAACAAUGCAGUUGGAUAUACAGAUAAGAUUACGGAUAAGAAUAAGAAAUAAAAGUAACAAGUAAUUCAAGAGCAACAGUAAAAUGACAAUAGCGAGACUAUAUACAGGGGGGUAUUUUAUGUUUUCUUAAUCAUGUCAAUUGUUACUUGCAAUGGGUGAAUUGUUUUUAAAAGUCAUAAUGACAGUCUAAGAAGGAAAAUGGAUGCAUCUGUUUCUGUAUUAAUGAACAUAUGUUACCUCUGUGCCUUGUCAAAGUCCUUCUCCAUCCAUUGUCACUCAAAAGCUUGACCUCUGACAUCUGGUGGCCAGCUAUAGAAUUGCAGUCUUGAAGAUUACACCAUAUUAACUGAAAACGGAACCAACCCACCCCAUACUUUUGAGACAAUACUCUCACAUACACAUAAUGAUGUCACAGUCAUGAAGUGUCCACAAGGGUUCCAUUGUCCUGCUGUUGGGUGUCUAAUGAGAGAGAGAGAACAAAAAGAGGUCAUUGAGCUCCUCACAGUUGGGCAGCACAGCUGGAAACAGCCUAAGGGCAGAAUGAGAAGACACUACAGGAUGAACAACUUCCAUCACCGUCUUCUGACUGACAGACACAAAGUGCAACUGUUUGGUAAUCCCCUUGAGCUCUUGUCCUAAAAGAUGAGCCCCAUAUAGUUAAUGAGGUCUUAUGGUAGUUUGAUCCCUUAAAACACAGACCACAAAAAGAGGUGACAUGGGGUGCUCUCUUCAUCAUUGACAUCUCAACAGCUAAUUAAGCAUACAGAUUUGGCAUUUAGGGGAUUAGCACAUGCUAUAUUGAAAGACAGGCUUUGUUAAAUUUACAAUUACUUUCUGAUAACCCUUCAGAUUUCAAUGAAGGAAAGCAAAUAGCAGUGGAUUUUUUCUUCAAUAAAUGUCCUAAUCUUUGUAGCCCUUUACACUCGUACCUGUAUAUGGAUUGAAAAUGACAGAUUUGGGCACUAAUAAGUGCCUAAAUUGGAAUGCAGUUACUGUACAGUAACAUGCUAUACAUGACAUCAGAGCUCUGGCUCUGAACUUCACAGUGCUGUAUGGGUUUUGACUGACAGCUGUACUGAACUUGAGCAACACGAACAUGAAUAUUUUCUGUGCGCACCAAGAUUACAAUCCAUUUCUCUGAAUUGUCUUGUGAAAGCCUAACACUGUAAGAUGUUAUCUUAGAACUUAGUUAGUCAUGUAGGCAAUAGAACAAGCUUUCAAAUCAUGCCCACCUGACCCAGAUUGCGAUUUAUAAUGGACCAUUUUUGGAUUGCGUAAACAACAAUAGUAAUUGUGUGAUGGCAGGAAUGCAGGGUUGUGUUCCAAACGAAACAACUACAAGUGUGCUUGCUCUAGUUCCUCAACAGCACAGCUAGGAGAGCUAAACAAAAUCCUUCUGGUUGAAGACUCUUCUUUGACUCAUAAAAGUGCAUUGAAAAUGCUUAGGAACUGUGCACACAUUGGAGAGGUGUGUGGCCACUUAGUCCUCUCGAACCUACUCACUCAGACCCUUGUCAUUUUGGGGGGUCUUAUGUUACACCUGCCCCAUAUUCUCCAGGAA
This is a long non-coding RNA of Oncorhynchus tshawytscha (Chinook salmon), 4790 nucleotides long. NCBI's taxonomy places the organism in Eukaryota, Metazoa, Chordata, Actinopteri, Salmoniformes, Salmonidae. The record is from Ensembl.